GAGUUACAUCCAUGGUAGCAGUCAAGCUCAAUUUGUGGCUGAAUCUCACAUUAUUCUUCUGUUGAAUGCGGCCAUCACCAUGGGAAUGGUUCUUCUGAAUGAAGCCGCCACCUCCAAGGGAGAUGUGGGCAAGCGAAGGAUUAUCUGUCUUGUUGGGCUCGGUUUAGUGGUGUUCUUCUUUAGCUUCCUUCUCUCCAUCUUCAGAUCAAAAUAUCAUGGUUAUCCUUACAGCUUCCUGAUUAAGUAAGAUCAUGCCGUGAAAGAAAAAUUCUGCUGUUCUUCUUGAGUUUCAGGCAGCUGCUUAUACUGUUCAUACUGUAAUGCAAUGCAUGUGUAACCGAAGAAAAAAAUAAAUUGAACAAUUACA
Long non-coding RNA from Xyrauchen texanus (razorback sucker), 367 nucleotides. RefSeq lists it as uncharacterized. The record is from RefSeq and is a predicted model, not a curated record. The transcript has 4 exons. NCBI's taxonomy places the organism in Eukaryota, Metazoa, Chordata, Actinopteri, Cypriniformes, Catostomidae.